AUUUACUAACACACAUAACCACGACAUUUACUAUGGGUUUACCAUAGUAACCAUAGUUUUACUCUGGUAUUUGUAUUUACUAACACACAUAACCACGACAUUUACUAUGGGUUUACCAUAGUAACCAUAGUUUUACUCUGGUAUUUGUAUUUACUAACACACAAUAACCACAACACUUACCAGGAUUUUACCACAGUAACUGUGUUUUUACUCUACACUAUUUGUAAAGCACAGUAACCACUAAGUUUGCCAUGCCUUUAAUAUCUUUUUGUGAUGUAAUUGUAAUUCAGUGUUUUUUCUGUCUUGCAGUUACGUCGGAUUACAUACUCCACAACAACCUGUAAUCCAGCAGAUCUUUAAAGAAGCCAUCUCUUGUAAAAUCUCUCUCUCCCUCUCUCUCUCUCUCUCUCUCUCUCUCUCUCUCUCUCUCUCUCGCUCUGCUAGAAUUAACAGGGAACUUCAACUCCACGAUCCCAAUGCUGAUAUUGAAGAAGCUGUCAAGGGGGCUGAACAAGUCCUUCAAAGGAUCAACCCUUCACAGGAAGGCCUGUCAUGAGAUUUGAAUUUGACCAUCUUGUGCAUUUAUGAAGAAGACCAAAAGCUGCAAAGGCAAACACUUCCAAUGGCAGAAACUGAGAGUUUGCAUGAUGGCCUUUUCUCAGACGCUGAAUCUGAUGUGUACAGAUGAACUCAGGAGCCUACUAGAGUUGCCAAGGAACUUGUGUUUGAACUGAAGACCAGAAACGCAAAGAAAAUCAGUCAAACCAGUCCUAAAGAAAUGAGGAAUGAACAUGGACUUCUUGUGCCCCAAAAGAAAAGACAGAAAGCUCCUAAAAUGAGCAAAUAAGCUGUGCAUCAUCUCUGUGAUUUGGGAAGGAAAUGACUGAAUAUGAUGAAGCCAGUUGAUGAAGAUAUCAAUUGAAUGGCCACCGAGUGCAUCACUGCUACCUGAACCCAUCAGUUAUCUUCUGUGAAGACUGCAUUCACAAACCGCUCUACUGCGACAGCUCAGAUGUUACGGCCUGUAAAAGUAAACAUCACAGCUAAACAACGAGAGCUAGUUGUGGUGGGAUUCUUUUGGCCAAUAUCCCCAACAAGAAUCAAUGACAUCUAGACCAGGUGGAGUGUGAGGAGGACCGUCAGAGACUCCAGCCAGCCGAGCCAUGGAUUGCUCUCACUGUUACCAUCAGGCAUGCGUUAUCACAGAACCUACACCAGCAGACAGUGAGACAAGUUCCUUUCACAGGCAAUCAGACUGAACUGAUCUCAUACCAGUAAAACCAUACACACCCCACCAACCUCAUAUGCCCUGCACUCUUAUCAGUUAUGCUGACUGGACUCAAUAUUAUUAUGCACCCUGACAUUCUGUUUGCACUAAUUCAUACCGUGCUUUACUGCAGAGAUGUAUGUGUACUGUGAUUAUUAUUGUUUUCAAUUCAUGCUCUUUGUAUAGCAUAAUUUUUUAACAUAUAUUGUUCUCUACCUGAAUUGAGUCCCUUAUAUAUGUGUGUUGCAUAUAUAUAUAUUCAGAAUUUGUAUUUCAUAUAUAUUCAUGAAGUAAUUCAUUUGUCAUCCAUACUGUCACGCUGCAGUCUGCACCCAAGACUUUCAUCACCUGUAUACUUGUGUUCAUUGUAUUGUGA
Molecule: long non-coding RNA, 1643 nt
Organism: Carassius gibelio (silver crucian carp)
Lineage: Eukaryota; Metazoa; Chordata; Actinopteri; Cypriniformes; Cyprinidae
Exons: 7
Source: RefSeq, a predicted model, not a curated record